RNAcentral lists this ribosomal RNA (1788 nucleotides) under Triticum aestivum (bread wheat). RNAcentral describes it as "partial small subunit ribosomal RNA". The record is from RNAcentral. Lineage: Eukaryota; Viridiplantae; Streptophyta; Magnoliopsida; Poales; Poaceae.
AUGCCGACGGUCAGCGUCGGCCGCGACCGCCUCUUCGCCGCACUCGGCAGGGUCUACACGCAAGACGAAUUCGAGGCACUCUGCUUUGAUUUCGGCAUCGAACUCGAUGAUGUGACCACAGAGAAGGCCAUCAUCCGGAAGGAGAAGCACCUGGAGGAAGACGUCGAAGCGGACGGCGAUGACGAGGUCAUCUACAAGAUUGAGGUUGCCGCCAAUAGAUAUGAUUUGUUAUGUCUUGAAGGAAUAGCAAGAUCUCUUCGCAUUUUCACCGGGAGUGAAGCAACCCCUAUAUUCAAAAUUGCUUCAAUCCCUCGUGGUUCAAUGCUCCAGAUGCAUGUUAGAUCACAGACCUCACAAAUUAGACCAUAUGUAGUUUGUGCUGUCCUAAGAGGAGUAACUUUUGAUGAAGUCAGAUACAGCAGCUUCAUUGAUCUUCAAGACAAACUCCAUCAAAAUAUUUGCCGGAAGAGAACUCUUGUUGCUAUUGGUACCCAUGAUUUGGACACUCUACAAGGACCCUUCUCAUACGAGGCUCUACCACCACAGGAAAUCAAUUUUAUCCCACUAAAGCAGGAGCAAAAUUUCAGAGCGGAUGCAUUGAUGGAGUUCUACAGAUCGGACAUGAAGUUGAAGAAGUUUUUGCAUAUAAUCGAGAACUCUCCAGUUUACCCAGUUAUAUAUGAUAGCAACAGAACUGUAUUAUCGUUACCGCCUAUCAUCAAUGGUGCACAUUCUGCUAUCACCCUUAAGACAAGGAAUGUGUUUAUCGAAUGCACUGCUACAGACCUUACAAAAGCAAAUAUUGUUCUGAAUACAAUGGUUGCAAUGUUCUCGGAGUACUGUGAAAAUAAGUUUGAAGUGGAACCAGUUGAAGUGGUAUCUUAUGAUGGAAGCACAGCCAUUUACCCUGAUCUUUCAUGUUAUAAAAUGGAAGUUGCGCUCUCUGAUAUUGUUGGACCCAUUGGAAUCUCCCUGGAUGAGACGCAGGUUAUCUCCCUUUUGAACAAAAUGCAAUUGCAAGCGAAACUUUGUUCAUCAAAUGGGGAGCCCUGUAUUUCGGUGUCUGUCCCUCCUACAAGAAGUGAUGUUCUGCAUGCCCGUGAUCUAGCAGAGGAUGUUGCUAUAGCUUAUGGGUACAACAAUGUGCCAAAAUCAAAGCCAAAGUCUAUGACAAUAGGUGGAAGGCAACCACUAAACCGUUUCUCUGAUAAAAUUCGUGCUGAGGUUGCAAGAGCUGGUUAUAUGGAGGUGCUCACAUUUGUUUUGACUUCACACGAAGAAAACUUCGAUAUGCUAAACAGGACAGACGAUGGAAAUAAAGCAGUCAUUAUUGCAAACCCCCGUACUUCUGAAUUUGAGGUUGUAAGAAGUAGUCUGAUGUCAUGUUUGUUGAAAACACUGAAGCAUAAUAUAGACCAUCCAAGACCCAUAAAGAUUUUUGAAGUUGGGGAUGUAGUGUCAUUGGAUACUUCACGUGAUGUUGGUGCCUCCAAUAAUCGCCGGCUUGCAGCUUUGUACUGUAAUAGUAAUUCUGGAUUUGAGGAAAUUAUGGGUUUGGUGGAUAGGAUUGUCAAAAUCGUGGCAGGUUCUCCACGCAUAAAAUUCGGCCAGACUUACUAUGUUCCUUCAAGCGAACCUGAGUUCUUUACUAAAAGACAAUGCAAAAUUGUUAUGAGUGAUGGAAAGCAGGUUGGCUACUUGGGAAUUGUCCACGCUGAGGUGCUAAGAAAAUUUGGCAUUCCGGACCCCUGCACCUUUGUCGAGAUUGACAUGGAGGCUCUUUUGUAG